RNAcentral lists this long non-coding RNA (268 nucleotides) under Bos taurus (domestic cattle). RNAcentral's name for it is "long non-coding RNA NONBTAT004718". The record is from RNAcentral. Lineage: Eukaryota; Metazoa; Chordata; Mammalia; Artiodactyla; Bovidae.
UGAGCAGCAUUUGUUAUCAAUUUCCUACUUUUGGAGAGUGGUUUCCUUCUGAACUCUGCGUAUGUGAAAAUAUCGCUACGUGGCACGAUGGGGUUAAUGUUUUAAGGCUGCUUUAAUGUAGAGGGCAAUUCAGCAAACUAUACUGGGAAGGAGGCAUUUCCCAACCUCUGAACACUUACUAUUGCUCAUCUUGAGGCAGCAACUCAAGGGAUUCAUGGCACUGCAGUUUCCAUUCUGAAAGUCUCAAGCAGACUUUCCCAUGGAUCAA